RNAcentral lists this ribosomal RNA (492 nucleotides) under uncultured bacterium. RNAcentral's name for it is "partial 16S ribosomal RNA". It matches the Rfam family "Bacterial small subunit ribosomal RNA", at positions 29 to 507 of the family's 1533-position model. The record is from RNAcentral.
AAUGAACGCUGGCGGUAUGCCUAACACAUGCAAGUCGAACGGCAGCACAGUGAGAGCUUGCUCUUACGGGUGGCGAGUGGCGGACGGGGGAGGUAUACAUCGGAAUCUACUUUUUCGUGGGGGAUAACGUAGGGAGACUUACGCUAAUACCGCAUACGACCUACUGGUGAAAGCAGGGGAUCUUCGGACCUUGCGCGAUUGUAUGGGCCGAUGUCGGAUUAGCUAGUUGGCGGGGUAAAGGCUCAACACGGCGACGAUCCGUAGCUGGUCUGAGGGGAUGAACAGCCAGACUGGAAGUGAGACACGGUCGUGACACAUACGCGAGGCAGAAGUCGGGAAUAUUGGAGAAUGCGGGCAAGAGUAAUCCAGCCAUAGCGCCUCGGCGAAGAAGGGAUACGGGUUGUAGAGCAAUUCAGUUCGGAAGGAACAGCAGCAGGUUUAAACGAGGCUAUACUGACGGUACCCAGAGAAUAAGCUCCGGCUAACUUCGUG